This 179-nucleotide ribosomal RNA is filed under the name uncultured Geobacillus sp. RNAcentral describes it as "partial 16S ribosomal RNA". It matches the Rfam family "Bacterial small subunit ribosomal RNA", at positions 1204 to 1382 of the family's 1533-position model. Lineage: Bacteria; Bacillati; Bacillota; Bacilli; Caryophanales; Anoxybacillaceae. The record is from RNAcentral.
AUGACCUGGGCUACACACGUGCUACAAUGGGCGGUACAAAGGGCUGCGAACCCGCGAGGGGGAGCGAAUCCCAAAAAGCCGCUCUCAGUUCGGAUUGCAGGCUGCAACUCGCCUGCAUGAAGCCGGAAUCGCUAGUAAUCGCGGAUCAGCAUGCCGCGGUGAAUACGUUCCCGGGCCUU